Molecule: small RNA, 92 nt
Filed under: Salmonella enterica
Lineage: Bacteria; Pseudomonadati; Pseudomonadota; Gammaproteobacteria; Enterobacterales; Enterobacteriaceae
Also listed under: 1 other name
Description: partial RtT sRNA
Rfam family: RtT RNA
About the family: This family represents a bacterial cis-regulatory element known as RtT RNA. The exact function of RtT is unknown although it is thought that it may be involved in changing the cellular response in relation to amino acid starvation.
Source: RNAcentral
GGAUGAGAACCGUAAAGGUUCGAGUCUCGCGAAGCGAGACAACAUCACUCCGGUGGUGGCCCGAAGGGCGAGUUAUCCUACACGACCCACCA